Beta vulgaris subsp. vulgaris (sugar beet) is the source of this 558-nucleotide long non-coding RNA. RefSeq lists it as uncharacterized. The record is from RefSeq and is a predicted model, not a curated record. Lineage: Eukaryota; Viridiplantae; Streptophyta; Magnoliopsida; Caryophyllales; Amaranthaceae. The transcript has 2 exons.
UAAAUAUGGACUGAGGUUUAGAUUAAGAAGCAGCAAUAGCCCCAUCAAAACACUAUUUCUUCUAUAAGUGAUACUCAUGGAAAGAGCUUCAAUUAUGUAUUUCAAGCUCCUCCUUUUAGGAAUUCUUCUGCUUCAUUCUUCAGCUGGUGUGUUGGGUAAAAGGGUUGCACCACAAGGGCCAGGAGUAUCAAGUGGAUUAACCCAUGUUGAAGGCCAUAGGAGAGAAUUGCAGGAUUGGUGUAUUACAAAGGGAUAUCCUUGCGAUGAAAGUGUUCCAGGAAAUUACCCAUGUUGUCCUCCUUAUGUUUGUAUUGUAAACUGGUUGCCUUGGGGAAACAAUUAUUGUGACACUCUGUUUCCAAUUUAACAUAUAUCGCCCCAUUAAAAAAACUGGCAGAAUCAUUUAAGUCAGCUUGUUUUAUUUCACUUGUUUUAAAAUGUUUAACAAUCCUCCAUAAUUAGGUCUUUGACCAUAUAAAGGAGGUAAUUAUGUAAUUUCCUUGUUCAAUUUUUAUUCGAAUAAUAUCUCGAGUGUGACCAUGGGAUUGGUUGAUCUAA